AUGAUAGAUACAACAACAACUUUGGCUUCCACAACAACUCCUCCAGCAUCUUCAACUGUAGCACAAAUUUUGACAACUGAUGCAGCAGCAACAACCAUGCCUGACACCACAAAAACUACUGAUGCUGAAACAACUUUGGAUUCCACAACCACCCCUCCAGCGUUAACAGGUCAUGCAACAACCCCAACUAUGCCUGACAUCACAACAAAUAUUUAUGCAACAACAACUUUGGCCAUAACCACCCAUCCAACAUCCUCAACUGUGGCACCAUUGUCAACAACAAAUGUUGCAUCAACCACAAGUAUGCUUGACACCACAGCAACUACUGAUGUGACAGCAACUUUGGCUCCUACAACCACUUCUCCAGAUUCCUCAACAGUGGCAAAAACAUCGACAACUGAUGGAACAACAACUAUGCCUGACUUUACAACAAUUAUUGAUGCAACAACUUUAGAUAGCACAUCCACCCUUUCAACAUCUUCAACUGUGGCACCAAUGUCAACAAAAACUGAAGUGGCAACCACAAUUCUCUCUGACACCACAGAAACUACUGAUGCAAAAACAAAUUUGGCUUCCGGAACCAUUCCUCAAAUAUCAUCAACUAUAGCACCAGCAUCAUCAACUGAUGCAGCAACCACAACUAUGCCAGACACAGCAACAUCUUUGCUUAGCGCCAGCAUCCCUCCAACAUCCUCAACUGUAGCAUCAUCAGCUGGGUUAGCAACCACACCUAUGCCUGACAACACAAUAGCACUUCCAAAAACAACUACUGGUGCAACAACAACAAUUUUGGCUACCACAAGCACUACUCCAACAUCCUCAAAUGUAGCACCAACACUGACAACUGAUUCGGCAACUAAAACUAAGCUUGAAUCCUCAACCACUAUUGGUGUAACAACAAGAACCCCUCAAAUAUCCUCAACUAUGCUCAAGCCUUACAUCACAACAAUUAUUGAAACAACAACAAAUUUGGUUUCCAAAACCACUAAUCCAACAUUCACAACCACAGCACAGGUGUUGACAAGUGACUCAGCAAUGACAACUAUUGCUGAUGCAACAACAGUACUUCCAACAACAACUAGUCAUGAAACAACAACCUUGGCUAUCACUAGCACCCCUCUAGAGUCCUCAUCUAAUGUAGCAACCACAACUUUGCCUGAACAUACAACAACUACUGGUGCAAAUACAACAACAACAACAACAAAUAAUAUUGAUGCAGCAGUCACAACUAUGUCUGAAAUAACAACAGUGUUUCCAACAAAUGCUACUAUUGUUGAGACAACAACAACUUUGGUUUCCACAACAACAAACAAUCCUACAACAAUUACUGUGGCUGAAACCACAACAUAUCUUCCAAAUACAGCUACUGGCGAGACAAUAACAACUUUGGCCACAUCUCCAACAUCCUUAUCUAUAGCACAAAAGUUGACUGACACAACCAUCCCUUCAACAUCCUCAAAUAUAGCACCAAAAUCAACAACUGAUGCAGCAACCACAACUUCACCUAAAACAACAACAGUACUUUCCAAAACAACUAUUAGUGCAACAGCUUUGGCUGCCAAAAGUACCCCUCCAGUGUCCUCAUCUGUAGCACCAACAUUGACAACUGAUGCAGCAAACGCAACUAUGGCUGAAACAGAAACAGUUCUUCCAACAAAAACUUUUGGUGCAACAACAAAAUCUGUUCUAGCACCAACAAUGACAUCUGAUGCAACAAUCAGAACUUUGCCUGAAACAUCAAUGGUAUUUUCAAAAACAACUAUUGGUGCAACAACAACAACUUUGACUAUUACAAGUGCUCCUCCAGCAUCCUCAUCUUUUGCACCAACUUUGACUACUGGUGCGGCAGUCACAACUAUUCCUGAAACAAAAAAAGUCCAUCCAGCAACAACUGUUGGUGCAACAACAGCUUUGUCUACAUUAUCUGUUCUAGCACCAAUGUCAGCAUCUGAUGCUGCUUCCACAACUAUGGCUGACACCACAACAAAUAUUGAUUCAAAAACAUCAACUUUGACUCCCACAAGCACUCCUCCAACAUCCUCAACUGUAGCACAGUUCUCAAAAUCUGAUGCAACAACCACUACUAUGCUUGGAACGACAACAGUCCUUCCAGCAAAGCCUAUUAGUGCAACACCAACAACUUUGGUUAACACAAGCACCCUUGCAACAUCUUCACUUGUAGAACCAAUGUUGACAGCUGAUGCAGCAAUCACAACUAUGGCUGACACCACAACAAUUACUGGUGCAACAACAAAUUUGGCCAACACAAGCACCCCGCCAAUAUCAUCAGUUAUACCACCAACGUCAACAUCUGAUGUGGCAGCCAAAACUAUGGCUGACACCACAACAAGUAUUGGUGCAACAGCAACAACUUUGACAACCACAACUAUGGCUGACACAACAACAAAUAUUGGUGCAACAACAGCAAAUUUGGUUAACACAAGCACUCCUCCAACAUCCUCAACUGUAGCACAAUUGUUGACAACUGAUUCAGCAACCACAGCUAUUCCUGAAAUAACAGUGGUACUUCCAACAAUGAUUGGUGCAACAACAACAACUUUGGCUACCAGAAGUACCCUUUCAACAUUCUCCACUCUAGCUCCAACAUCAACAACCGAUACACCAACUACAACUAUGCCUGAAAAAACAUUAGCACUUCUAACAAAUGGUAUUAUUGUUGAGGCAACUAAAACUUUGGUUUCCACAACAACAAACAAUCCAACAUCUACUAUGGCUGAAACCACAACAACCCUUCCAGUAACUUUGGCCACACUUCCAACAUCCUUGACUAUAGAACAAUCUUUGGCUGCUACAACCAUCCCUCAAACAUCAUCAAAUAUAGCACCCAUGUUGACAACUGAUAGAGCAACUACAAAUUCACCCGAAACAGCAACAAUUCUUUCAGCAACAACAAUUGGUGCAACAACAACAACUCUGGCUGCCAAAAGCACCUCUCCAGCAUCCUCAUCUGUAGCACCAACAACUGAUGCAGCAACCACAACUAUGCCUGAAACAACAUCAGUCCUACCAACAACACCUAUUGGUGCAACAACAACUUUGACACAAGCACCCCUCUAACAUCAUCACUUCUAGAACCAUUGUUGACAUCUGAUGAAGAAACAACAACUGUGCCUAAAACAACAGUUCUUGAAACAACAGUUUUGUUUAACAUAAGCACCCUUGCAACAUCUUCAGUUGCAGCACCAAUGUUGACAACUGAUGCAGUAACCAAAACUAUUGGCGCAACAACAACAAAUAUCGCCAACACAAGCAUCCCUCCAUCAUUCUCAUCUUCAGCACCCUUAUCGACAAUUGAAUCAACAUCCACAACUAUGUUUGAAACAACAACAGUACUUCCUGUUACAACUACUAGUGCAACAACAACUUUGGCUGGCACAAAUACACUUCCAACAGCAACUAUAGGUGAGACAACUAUAAUCUUGGGUCUCAAAACCACAGUAGCUCCUCCAACAUUCUCAACUAUCACACAAAACACCACAACUCAUCCAGAAACUACAACUAUGCCUGCAAUUAAUACAAGUAUUGGUGAAAAAACUACAACUUUGACCCCCACAAGCACCACAACCCCUCCAACUUUGCUGGAGGAGUCAGUGACAACAACAUCCAAGAAUAUUCAUCCACAAAGCACAACAAUGUCUGAGAUGAAAAUUACUACCUUCAGUGCAUUAAAAACAGAUAUAACUGAUUCAACAACCACACCUAAUUCUAAAAUCACAACAACUAGUAGUGAAACAAUUACAACCAGAAUGUCCUCCUCAACAUUGUUGGAAGAGCCAACAACAGCACAAUCACAAGCUAUAUCUAAUUUAAAUACAACAACAGUUCCAGUGUUUACAACAACAGCUUUGACUAAUUCUCAGACAGAAAAUAAUCCUACAGUGCACUUCCUAACAUCUACAGCAGUCCUUGGCAAAACAAGCUUACCUCUAAUGAACAGAACUGGUUCAGCACUGGUUACAAGCAAACUGCAGUUUAACUCCUCAUCUCCAGUCCCCAGAGAAACUCAGGUCCUCAGUGUUAUCAAGACUCUUCUCAAAUCCAGAGAGUCACAGCUCAACAAAUCAGUUCAAGUGCUGAAUGUCACCUAUAAAAGUAAGUUUCAUUGUUCUGAGUUGAAAAGUUUUUGAAAUAUGAAUGUGCCGACUAUAAUGUGAAUGUGAAGCCAAGAUACAAUCCAUAUAUUUCCCUUCAAACAGAUAUCUCAGAGACCUCUUAUGCAAUCAUCUUUACAUUUAACCUGAUUGACAUUAGUAUACCAAAGGACCCUGCAGUAAAGAACAACACCUAUCAGCACCUGCAGAAUGUUAUCAAUAAUAUGGUAAGCAUUUAUAGUUCACCCAUUAAAAAAAAAAAAAAAAAAAAAAAGUUUGGUUUCAAUGCAGAUCUCUCACAUUUAUGAUGCAUAUGUCUUAAUAUUACUUUGCAGUUGAACACACUUCUGAAUGAACCUGGCAGUCAGGUUUUUGAAGCCAAGUCCUCCAAAUUCACGUAAGAUGACUUCAUUUUUUAAUCAUGUUUAUUCAUAUUGUUAAUUCACUGUAGCAUUUUUGUGUAUAAAACUAACAAACCUUAAAAGAUCUUAACUGGUUUGUACUUAAUCUGGUUUGCCCAUAUUGACUGAAGCUAUUGCAAAAUAUCCUCCAACUGCACCUAAUAUCCACUACCAUUUCAGAAUCAAUUUACAAUUUUGCAUUCUAUCCUUUUAAAUAUAGAGUCAUAUUUUUGCUUCUUUUACCUUUUUUAACAUUCCAAAACAUUUCCCUCUAGGAGCACAGAAAACCACAUUGAGGGCAGUAUGGAAUAUAUCUUCGACAGCAAAGAUCAACCCACCAUUUUGUUGAAGGAGCUUAAUUUACAGAACAGUAAUCAAUUUUAAUGAUCAUAUCAAUUCUAAUGAUACAAUAAAACAAAAUAAAUGGCAUGGCUGUUCAUGCCAUUUUCACUGUAUAAUUAAGUGUUUCUCAUCCAGUAAUAAAUUUUAUUUUACAGGCAUAAUAACAACGACCCUUGCAACACCAGGCACAUCUAAAACCACUAAAGGAACUACAACUUUGUAAGAAAAAUAAUCAGUCUUAUUAAAAGGGAAUUAUUUAUAUGACCUAUACUGUACAUUCCUUAUAUUUAAAUUUUCUUUUUCAGGAUUGGGAGGGUGAUUUUUUACAUUCGGCUAAUUUUUAUCACACGGGGCCCCAUACCAAGUGAGAGUCAUGUUCAAAAUUUGGUCAACGUACUGCUGGCCCCACAUCUCAGAGCUAAACAAGACACAGCACAAGCCCUGAAUGAUCCUGUGAGCUAUGUGAAUGCCAGCUAUGAGAGUGAGUUGUUCUCUUCUGCUUAGAUUUGCUUGCUGUGAAAAUAAAAUUUAAAACUAAACUAAGUUGCACAUAGCAGAAAUUUGGUAACAGGGUUUAAUUGAUAUUAAAGUUUAAUGUUUUGAUAGUCCAUGAUAAUUUUUGUAAAAUAAAGGUUACAUCACCUUAUAGCUUGCCUGUUUUAAUUAACUGUUGCUGGCUGGUUUAUUUUUAUUUAUUAUUAUUAUUAUUAUUAUUAUUAUUAUUAUUAUUAUUAUUAUUAUUAUUAUUUUAUUUAUUUAUUUAUUUAUUUUUUACUUUUUUACCUAUCCAAGCUACAAUAUAUCACUCUCCUAUUUUGAGCAGAUGGAUAAAUAUGACAUCUCACCACCUAUAUGUGUAAUCAAAUAAUUAGUUUUAUAUACUGUUCUUUUUAAGAAAUUGCUGAUAAUUCAUAUGCCCUCAAACUUGGCUUUGAGAUCAACAAUCCAUCCAUGGCAGAGAAACUUGAACUCAGGGAUGGCAACUACACAUUCAUUCAAAACUCCAUAAAAAGAAAGGUGGGUUUGAGACUGUUUUAGAAAGAAAUGAACCUUAAAAUAUUAUCAUAAAACAAUUAAUCUCUGUACUUAUUGAUACAUUCUUCAGCUAAACCAAAUCCUAAGUGACUCUGACACUUCUGUUGAGUUCAACAAAGCCAAUUUCACGUAUGUAAUGACUUUUUUUUAUACUUUAAUCAGAGCAAUGAUGUGGCUUCAAGUGAGUUAAAAAAAAUCUCCUUUAACUUCCCCCAGGAAAAAUUCCAUGGAGGUCAUUGCUGAUAUUGAUUAUAUUUUCCGGCAACAAGACAUCAAGUCACCCAGUGACUUCCUCCAAGAACUUCUCAAAGUUAUGAAUAGUAUGUAUUCUUUCCAUAUUAUAGAGAUAAAUUAAUUCAGUGUAUGACACUUUAAAAUUAUUAACUACUAUUUCAUGUUUUAAAUAUACUAUAUCUAUCUAUCUAUCUAUCUAUCUAUCUAUCUAUCUAUCUAUCUAUCUAUCUAUCUAUCUAUCUAUCUAUCUAUCUAUCUAUCUAUCUAUCUAUAUUUGAAUAGUGUAUAGCCUACAGUAUAUACAUUUAUGAUAUUAUGAUUUAUUUAUUAUAUGUAUUCUUCUUCUCCUUAAAUAUAUCUCCUAAAAUAUUUGUUUGCACUGCAGGCUUAACAACUCCAGCUCCAACAGGGAAUAAAACAACUCAGAAACCUGUACAAACACCAAAUGUGUAAGUAUAACGUUUCAGAAUAAAUUGUAUUGUGUAAAAGGUAACCAUUUUAUUCAUUAUCUCACUCACCAUUAUUCCUCUUUACCUUCUUUUUUAGGAUUGGGAAGGUGAUUAUUUACAUUCGGCUCAUAUUUAUCACACGGGGCCCUGUACCAAGUGAUGCAAAAAUAUUACAAUUGGCAAACUCUCUGCUGGCCGCACGUUUCAGAAUUAAACGAGAACUAAGGGCACAAAGCUUAGGUACCCCUGUGAGCUUUGUGAAUGUUACUUACACAAGUGAGUUUUCUCUUCUCUGUUCAGUCACCAGUAAACAAAUUUCCGUAUUGCAGUAAAAAUAUAUGUAUUAUUAUUAUUAUUAAUUCAUGUUUUUUUUAAUUUUUUUUAAGAACUUUCUGAUACGUCAUAUUCCCUGAAUUUUGGAUUUGAAAUCAACAAUGUUACCAUGUCUCAGAAACUUGAACUCAGGGAUACAACAUAUAAAUUAAUCCAGGACUCUAUAAAUAAAUUGGUAAGUCUGACACAAUAUGCAUUUAAAAUGCCCUUAUUAUUAUUAUUAUUAUCAAGCUUUGUUUUGGAUUAAGCUCAACUAUUAAGCCCAAAUUCUAUCAUCUUCAAUUUUUAAUAUAACAAUUUUUCAUUGCUGACCUGUUUAGUUGAACGAGAUCCUAACUGAGCCCACAGCCACUCCAUUUGAGUUCAAAGAUACCAAUUUCACGUAAGAUUUAAACUUUUAUUAGAACAGAAAUGUCCAUUGAAAUCUAGUUUAAAUGUGGUUAGAUCAGAUGUAAAGGAACAAGCACAAUGAAAUCUUUUUGAAGGUUCAUUUGCAUCAAUGUAUAUUUUAAUUUCUCCCCAGGGGUAAUUCCACCACUAUUCAGGCUGAUGUACAGUAUGUUUUCUCAGAAAACGACAUCCAGAAACCCAGUGCCUUUCUCUAUGCACUUAUUGUGGUUAAUAAUG
This is a long non-coding RNA of Cyprinus carpio carpio, 7533 nucleotides long. The record is from Ensembl. Lineage: Eukaryota; Metazoa; Chordata; Actinopteri; Cypriniformes; Cyprinidae.